Oncorhynchus tshawytscha (Chinook salmon) is the source of this 1109-nucleotide long non-coding RNA. RefSeq lists it as uncharacterized. The transcript is spliced from 7 exons. Lineage: Eukaryota; Metazoa; Chordata; Actinopteri; Salmoniformes; Salmonidae. The record is from RefSeq and is a predicted model, not a curated record.
UGCAAACUUCAUCUAGGAGCAAACCUCUACUUAUUGUUACAAUGAUAUCCAUUUGCCCUUGUCAUCUUUUAUUAUUUCCUCUCUCUCUCUCUCGAUCUCUCCCUCUCCAUCAGGUGGCGCUGUGGUUUAAUUUUUUAUAUAUUUUUUAUCUUACUCUUCACUGUUCAUUCAAUCCAUAAAACAGAACACCAGGCACUCUGCAUCAAUGUCAUCACAGACCACAGUUAGGCACCAUACACACCUGAGCUUCAGUCUGUCACAACACAACAGGACUGUGUUCCCAGCAGCCAUCCAUUCCAGAACUUCCUUGGGUAAAUACUGUAUGUUGCUGGAUUUUACUUCCUGUCUGCGAUUGUGAUCAAAUAGAGUGCUGGAGCGACCAGAUGAUAGGCUUCAACUUUCUUCGUUUUAGUUUUUAAUAUAAUGCCAGCACAGCUACAUGGAAAGUAAAGGAGAGGCUGGAAGAGAAGAGAAAAAGAGGUGAGGAGAGAAGAGAAAGGGAGGAGGGUGAAGUACUAUGAAGGCACCACUGAUCUCGACAAGAGGCGCAACAUUCAGAAAAUGUCACAAUUCAGGUCAAUCAUAUCUACCUUACGGAGGAAGGAUGGCCAACCACACAGCAGGGUGAUGUUUACUAAGGAGGAGAAGGAAGCCGUGCUGACCGAGAUGCAUGCUGGCCAUUUCGGAGUGAAGCACAUGAUUGCCAAAAUCAACCUACGAUUCUUCUGACGAGGAAUUGUCAAGGAGGUCAGUACCCUGUCAAGCCAGCCAGAAGUUUCAUAGUGCGAAGACUGUGGCGCCAGAGUUGAAGCACAUCAAAGUUGUUUCACCAAUGCACAUGAUCGGGGUGGACCUCAUCGGACCCUUCACGAAAUCCAGGAAUGGCAGCAGCUGGUGUCUGACGGCGACCAAUCACUUUACCAAGUGGGUGGAGGCAAUACCUAUCAAGGUCAAUAAAGGAAGAGACGAGACUGUCAAGGCCAUGGUUCUCCUGAGGUCAUCUUGAGUGACCGAGGUCAUGAACGCUGGAACAAGGUUUGGUGAAUGGACCAACCAGACCUUCAAGACAUGAGAAAGUCCCUUGAUUGGUACCAGGAAUGGUGGGAGAA